UCCGAGUUGACCCCGGCAGUCUCCUAUGAGUCCCCGCCAUAACGCGCUGGCAACAUAGAACGAGGGUUGCGCUCGUUGCGGGACUUAACCCAACAUCUCACGACACGAGCUGACGACAGCCACGCAGCACCUGUGUGCAGAUUCUCUUUCGAGCACUCCCCGAUCUCUCGAGGAUUUCUGCCAUGUCAAGGGCAGGUAAGGUUUUUCGCGUUGCAUCGAAUUAAUCCACAUCAUCCACCGCUUGUGCGGGUCCCCGUCAAUUCCUUUGAGUUUUAAUCUUGCGACCGUACUCCCCAGGCGGCGAACUUCACGCGUUAGCUGCGGUACUAAGGAAGUCUCCUUCCCCAACACCUAGUUCGCAUCGUUUAGGGCGUGGACUAC
Molecule: unclassified non-coding RNA, 381 nt
Filed under: uncultured Gammaproteobacteria bacterium
Lineage: Bacteria; Pseudomonadati; Pseudomonadota; Gammaproteobacteria
Description: contains 16S-23S intergenic spacer region
Source: RNAcentral